Molecule: ribosomal RNA, 906 nt
Filed under: uncultured bacterium
Lineage: Bacteria
Description: SSU rRNA
Rfam family: Bacterial small subunit ribosomal RNA
Source: RNAcentral
GCUCAGAACUAACGCUNGUGGUGUGUCUUAGUCAUGCAAGUCGAACGAGAAAGUCACCUUCGGGUGACGAGUACAGUGGCGAACGGGUGAGUAACACGUGGGCAAUCUGCCCCUGGGUUGGGGAUAACACUUCUAACGAGGUGCUAAUACCGAAUGACAAGACGAGUUUUAUGGCUCGUUUUUAAAGGUGGCCUCUACUUGUAAGCUGCCGCCUGGGGAUGGGCCCGCGUCGUAUUAGCUUGUUGGUGGGGUAAUGGCCUACCAAGGCAACGAUGCGUAGCCGGCCUGAGAGGGUGAACGGCCACACUGGCACUGAGACAAGGGCCAGUCUCCUACGGGAGCCAGCAGUCUAGAAAUUUGCACAAUCGUCGAAAGGCGGAUGCAGCGACACCACGUGGAGGAUGAAGCCCUUCGGGGUGUAAACUCCUGUCAGGAGGGAAGAAGGUGCGGUUGUUAAUACCAGCCGUUACUUGACGGUACCUCCAGAGGAAGCUCCGGCUAACUACGUGCCAGCAGCCGCGGUAAUACGUAGGGAGCGAGCGUUGUUCGGAUUUACUGGGCGUAAAGAGCACGUAGGCGGGUAUACAAGUCGGUUGUGAAAUCCUCUGGCUCAACCAGAGAAUUGCAGCCGAAACUGUAUACCUUGAGUCCAGCAGAGGGAAUCGGAAUCCCAGGUGUAGCGGUGAAAUGCGUAGAUAUCUGGGAGAACACCAGUGGCGAAGGCGGAUUCCUGGGCUGGUACUGACGCUGAGGUGCGAAAGCUAAGGGAGCGAACAGGAUUAGAUACCCUGGUAGUCUUAGCCGUAAACGAUGGGUACUAGGUGUUGGGGGACAUUGACCCCCUCAGUGCCGGAGCUAACGCAUUAAGUACCCCGCCUGGGGAGUACGGNCGCAAGGCUGAAACUC